RNAcentral lists this ribosomal RNA (377 nucleotides) under uncultured bacterium. Its description in RNAcentral is "bacterial SSU rRNA". It matches the Rfam family "Bacterial small subunit ribosomal RNA", at positions 523 to 898 of the family's 1533-position model. The record is from RNAcentral.
AUACGUAGGGGGCGAGCGUUGUCCGGAAUUACUGGGCGUAAAGGGCGCGUAGGCGGUCUAAUAAGUCAGAUGUGAAACCCCUGGGCUUAACCCUGGGCUUGCAUUUGAAACUGUUGGACUUGAGGGCAGGAGAGGAAAGCGGAAUUCCCAGUGUAGCGGUGAAAUGCGUAGAUAUUGGGAGGAACACCAGUGGCGAAGGCGGCUUUCUGGACUGCACCUGACGCUGAGGCGCGAAAGCCAGGGGAGCGAACGGGAUUAGAUACCCCGGUAGUCCUGGCCGUAAACGAUGGAUACUAGGUGUGGGAGGUAUCAACCCCUUCCGUGCCGGAGCAAACGCAAUAAGUAUCCCGCCUGGGGAGUACGGCCGCAAGGCUGAA